This 710-nucleotide ribosomal RNA is filed under the name uncultured anaerobic ammonium-oxidizing bacterium. RNAcentral describes it as "bacterial SSU rRNA". It matches the Rfam family "Bacterial small subunit ribosomal RNA", at positions 358 to 1051 of the family's 1533-position model. The record is from RNAcentral.
AGAAUCUUUCGCAAUGCCCGAAAGGGUGACGAAGCGACGCCGCGUGUGGGAAGAAGGCCUUCGGGUUGUAAACCACUGUUGGGAGUUAGGAAGUGUGGGAGUGUUAAUAGCGCUUCCGCUUGACUAAAGCUCCAGAGGAAGCCACGGCUAACUCUGUGCCAGCAGCCGCGGUAAUACAGAGGCGGCAAGCGUUGUUCGGAAUUAUUGGGCGUAAAGAGCACGUAGGCGGCUCUGCAAGUCAGCUGUGAAAGCCUUCUGCUUAACGGAAGAACAGCAGUUGAAACUACAGGGCUUGAGUGCGGGAGGGGAGAGUGGAACUUCUGGUGGAGCGGUGAAAUGCGUAGAUAUCAGAAGGAACGCCGGCGGCGAAAGCGGCUCUCUGGUCCACAACUGACGCUGAGUGUGCGAAAGCUAGGGGAGCAAACGGGAUUAGAUACCCCGGUAGUCCUAGCCGUAAACGAUGGGUACUAAGUAGAGGGGUCUUGGUUAUCUCUCUGCCGGAGCUAACGCAUUAAGUACCCCGCCUGGGGAGUACGGCCGCAAGGCUAAAACUCAAAAGAAUUGACGGGGGCUCGCACAAGCGGUGGAGCAUGUGGCUUAAUUCGAUGCAACGCGAAGAACCUUACCGGGGUUUGACAUGGUAGAAGUAGAAGCCUGAAAGGGUAACGAGCGGUAUCCAAUCCGUUACUAUCACAGGUGUUGCAUGGCUG